Non-coding RNA from Macaca mulatta (Rhesus monkey), 4333 nucleotides. NCBI's taxonomy places the organism in Eukaryota, Metazoa, Chordata, Mammalia, Primates, Cercopithecidae. The record is from RefSeq and is a predicted model, not a curated record.
CAGCAGACGCCCGCCCUGCGGGGGAGGUGGGGCCUGCAGGCCGCGGGGCCGCUCUCGGAGCCCGGCAGGCCUGAGCAGGUCGGGGCGCGUGUUCCGGAAGCCCGGUCCCGGGCGCUGUGAGGGGCACCUGGGGACGCUCCGCGAGUCUGUGUCCCAGCCCUGAGCUCAGCGGAAGACUGCAGAGUCCUGGGCCCACGAGAUUGUGCAUCCAGCUCUGGCUGUGGACCUGUGGUGUCGUGAUGACCUGGGAUCAUCAGAGAGCAGGAGGCCAUUCCCUUUGGUGCCUCUCAUUCCCUGUGUGCUGGCCAGCACAUCAUUAGGCCUGAUGGAAGGCUCUGCCAGGCCCUUCCCCACCGAGGGCCUCGUCAAGCUUCCUUGACAGUAGCUGUCCUGAUGUUGUGAGGCGGUGUCUCACUGUAUCCUGCGCCGUUUUGAUGAAGGAACAUCAGAUCACGCUUCCUCUGCUGAACACCCUCUCAAGAGUAAAAGCCUCGGCCUUCCUGGUGGCCUCCCAAGCCUGAAGGAUUCCCAGUGACCUCUGGCGUCAUCUCUGGAUGAUGCCCUGUCCUUCCCCCAAGCUGUUUCCCAAGCCCACCUAGCAGCCCCGAUGUCCUUCUGUAUCUGCCUGAUGUCUCCGCUUCACCAGGACUUCAUAUAAGGAGAUGACGGCUGGAUGAACACUCUGCAGAGGGGUGCAGGGAGGCAGCGGUUUAUUCAAGGGAAGGGGAAUGUUGCAGCAACAGGUGGAGGUGAAGGUCAAGUGCAGAGCCCUCCUGGCACAUCCAGUGCUCUCUCCGUCAUGGGGAGGGGUGAGGAGGGAGGACGGUGCUUCCAGGAAAGCAGAGCUGAGGCCCGCUGGACUCCAGGCAGCUCUCUGCUCUCCUCGCCUUUUGCCUCAGAUUUUUGCAUGUCAGUCGGUCUGGAGAGGAGCUGAUGCUCUGAAGGUGCUGCCUGGCUCUGAACUAUGGAAGCCAAGAGCUCUGGUGGGGUAGGAACUGAGGGUCCACUACAUUUGCCCCAAGAACAUCCUUGCUGGCCUUGCCGAGGGAGCCUGGCACGUGUCAUGCUUGGCAAUUGUUUCCGUGAGACUCCCCUGCUUUGACGGCGACAGGACACGGGGCCCUGAAUGCAUGAUAACAACAACUGCAGGUCCCCUGAGCCUUGUUUGUAGAGGUGGGUCAUCUCUGGUACCGACCUCCAUCCACCUGAGAAGCAGGGCUGGCCACUUUGCCACCAGCCCCAGCCCUGCCCCGGAGGGAUCUGCAGUGUAAACGGACCGUGUGAAUGCUGGGAUCUGCAGUGUAAAUGGACCGUGUGAAUGCUGAUUUUUACAAAGGCCCAAAUGUGGUCAAUUCAGUUAUUCAUACCAGGCAAGGAAGCUGCCUUAUGAAUAAUUCAAAGUUGUUGCAAAUCCACAGACCUUUUUCACAUUGCCUGCUUACAGUAGGCUCUCCAUAAAUGUUUACUGAAUAACUGAAUAAAUUAACAUAUGAAUGAAUAUUUUGCAAUAAGCUUUUGGUAUUUACUUUUGCACAUCCGUCUGUUGAUGUUCUGAGGAUCAGCAGACGUCCUCACAAAGGGGCUCAGGCAUGCUCCCCAAACAGGCCUGGAGCGCCCAGAAAAGCCAGGUGGGCCGUGGUUCUCCCUUGCUCUGCAAGAGUGGCGGGGAAUAGGAAAAAAACGUCCCCGUGGCUGAUACAGCCUCUAGCUGGAAGCUGUGAGAUUCCUGACACAGGCCAUGCCUGAUUUGUGUGGCUUACCACUUUCAUUCUGCUUUUAUAACCCUCUCCUCUAGCCUUGGUUAAAGCUACCAUGUGGUCAGCAGAAUGGUCCCCCAAAGAUGUUCGGGCCCUCACCCCUGGAAACUGUGACUAUGUUCCGUCGCGGGGGAAGAGGGCUUUACAGAUGUGAUGAAAGGUAUGGACCUCACGAUAGAGAGAUCAUCUGGAACUCUCUGGUGAUGAAAGGUAUGGACCUCACGAUAGAGAGAUCAUCUGGAACUAUCUGGUGAUGAAAGGUAUGGACCUCACGAUAGAGAGAUCAUCUGGAACUCUCUGGUGAUGAAAGGUAUGGACCUCACGAUAGAGAGAUCAUCUGGAACUCUCUGGUGAUGAAAGGUAUGGACCUCACGAUAGAGAGAUCAUCUGGAACUCUCUGGUGAUGAAAGGUAUGGACCUCACGAUAGAGAGAUCAUCUGGAACUCUCUGGUGAUGAAAGGUAUGGACCUCACGAUAGAGAGAUCAUCUGGAACUAUCUGGUGAUGAAAGGUAUGGACCUCACGAUAGAGAGAUCAUCUGGAACUAUCUGGUGAUGAAAGGUAUGGACCUCACGAUAGAGAGAUCAUCUGGAACUCUCUGGUGAUGAAAGGUAUGGACCUCACGAUAGAGAGAUCAUCUGGAACUCUCUGGUGAUGAAAGGUAUGGACCUCACGAUAGAGAGAUCAUCUGGAACUAUCUGGUGAUGAAAGGUAUGGACCUCACGAUAGAGAGAUCAUCUGGAACUCUCUGGUGAUGAAAGGUAUGGACCUCACGAUAGAGAGAUCAUCUGGAACUAUCUGGUGAUGAAAGGUAUGGACCUCACGAUAGAGAGAUCAUCUGGAACUAUCUGGUGAUGAAAGGUAUGGACCUCACGAUAGAGAGAUCAUCUGGAACUAUCUGGUGAUGAAAGGUAUGGACCUCACAAUAGAGAGAUCAUCUGGAACUCUCUGGGCAGGCCCAGCUAAAUCACAUGUGCCCUCAAAAGCAAAGACCUGUCUUCACUGGCGUCCGAGAGGUGGGGCUGAAGGAGAGGGGGAGGGAUGGAAAGGUGAGAAGGCUCCAUGGGCUGCUGGGGCUUGCAGAGGGAGGGGCACUGAGUCCAGGAAUGCAGGUGGCCCCAAGGAGCUGAAAAGGCCUGGAACCAGUGGAGAAAUUGGGACUUACACCCUGUAGCUAUCAGGAUGUGAAUUCUCCCAACUACAUAAGUGAGCUUGGAAGUGGAAUCCUUCCUGGAGCCCCCAGAAAGGGACACAGCCCUGCCGACACCUUGAUUUUGACCUUGUGGGACCCUAAGCAAAGAACUGACUGAGCCACCCUGCGGCUGGACUUCUGACCCACGGAAACUGUGACCGAUGUACGGGCGAUGUUUUAAUUUACCAACUUUCACAGCAGCAUGCUAACACGGCGAACAAAUGUCACGGUGGCUUUGGACACGUGGCUUUAGCUCUUGGGACCCUGCUUCUUCCCCCUGAGUCUGAAGGGUUGGGUCACACCAUCUCCGACACCUCUCCCAGCUCUCAGGUUCUAGGAUUUGCUAUCAAUGAUACCAGCAGUUUUUGGAAUCAGGCUUGGGAGUCAAGCAGGCUGGGUUCAGGUUACCACUUUACAGCUUGAAGCUGUGCUGCUUUGUUCUGUGUUUUUGUUCCUAAUCUGUACACAGGGGUAAUAACACUGCCUUAUAAGGUUUUAACGAUUAAAUGGGAUCAUGCAUGAAAAAAAACUUGGCUCAUAGUGUGUACUUGAUAAAUACCACUUCCUUUCUCUACCUCAUUUUUAUAGUCCUGCCACUGCAAGCUGGGUUGCCCCCCACGAAACUCAAGGAGGCAUCUCAGCAAGUUUCAAGAUUUCCGUCCUCCUAUAGCUGGGACUUGCGGCUAAAGCUCUAGGAACAAGGACAUGACUCGGGACUGGCUGUGGUUACGAAGAAGCUGAGAAGUGCACAGAGCUCUAAGAAGCAGGUACAUCUGGGAUUUGCUAUCAAUCUCAAACCCCAGCAGCCCAGCCGGGGGUCCCUGUCAGGUUUCUCACUACUGGGGAAGUCCUCAGGUCCAGGCGACUGUUAUCCGGGAGCAGGAGCUGGUUCUUUCCUUUUGGACUCCUGGGUGUCAGGCUGGCUCAGUUCUGCAGCUUCGGGACAUCAAGCAGGAGGUUGGUGUCACUUACUCUGACACGUGAUGUAGCUCUAGACUGUUCCAGGCUUUCUGGUGUGUUUAUUUAAUGGGAUUUGCCAUCUGGAGUUCAGACAGCUGACUGAUCCAAAGAGAGGGAUUUUGCAGUGGGCUCUUCAGUUUUCCGAAGCUCAAGUGCAGCUUCUUUCAUCAUUCUUUGCGACGGCCCCUGCUCCGGUGUAAACGACAUGUUAGGUCACUUAUUUCUUCAAGGACGACAGGUGCCUGACCACAGGUGUGGAUAACACCUGAAGUCCCCACGGGCCCUUUGCCACCGCUCUCAGCCUUCUGCUGGACUCACAAACUUUAUGAUGUUGCCAACAGGCACUUCUUCCCCUGGCUCCUCUUGGAAGCAGCUAGAACCUUCAUCAGGAACCCAGCUAAUAAAAAAACCACAUUAUUUCCUCA